Ctenopharyngodon idella (grass carp) is the source of this 371-nucleotide long non-coding RNA. RefSeq lists it as uncharacterized. The record is from RefSeq and is a predicted model, not a curated record. NCBI's taxonomy places the organism in Eukaryota, Metazoa, Chordata, Actinopteri, Cypriniformes, Xenocyprididae. The transcript is spliced from 3 exons.
GUAUUCCCACAGGAUUGGAUGCGUCACCAGCUUCAGGAGAGAGGCCAUUGUUGUCUCUCUGAUCACUGUGAAAGAUACAGAACAAAGGGAUCAGUGUUAAAUGAAGUGUGCUCACCUUGGUACCAGCUGUUGCAGAUUGUGGCAGAGGGACUGUAUGAACCAGGAUCCCUUUUCCUUUUCCCUGAAUGAGACAUAGGAUGGUACAGUGGACAUGGCUAACAGGCCUGGAUGAAGAACAGUUUGGGUUUCUGGUAGAGGGAGGAGCACUGAUAUGGACUCAGAGUCUCUAUCAGCUCUUUAAAGGUGACAGUCUUUCCAUCUACCCCGACGACACCGUCUUCCCGUCCGUGGCUUAGCACGCAGCACACCAC